This 431-nucleotide ribosomal RNA is filed under the name uncultured bacterium. RNAcentral's name for it is "bacterial SSU rRNA". It matches the Rfam family "Bacterial small subunit ribosomal RNA", at positions 340 to 786 of the family's 1533-position model. The record is from RNAcentral.
UACGGAAGGCAGCAGUGGGGAAUAUUGGACAAUGGGCGAAAGCCUGAUCCAGCCAUGCCGCAUGAGUGAAGAAGGCCUUCGGGUUGUAAAGCUCUUUUAGUGAGAAAGAUAAUGACGGUACUCACAGAAGAAGUCCUGGCUAACUCCGUGCCAGCAGCCGCGGUAAUACGGAGAGGGCUAGCGUUAUUCGGAAUUAUUGGGCGUAAAGAGCGCGUAGGCUGAUUAGUAAGUUAAAAGUGAAAUCCCAAAGCUUAACUUUGGAAUUGCUUUUUAAAACUGCUAAUCUAGAGAUUGAAAGAGGAUAGAGGAAUUCCUAGUGUAGAGGUGAAAUUCGUAAAUAUUAGGAGGAACACCAGUGGCGAAGGCGUCUAUCUGGUUCAAAUCUGACGCUGAGGCGCGAAGGCGUGGGGAGCAAACAGGGAUUAGAUACC